CCUACGGGCGGCAGCAGUGGGGAAUAUUGGGCAAUGGGCGCAAGCCUGACCCAGCAACGCCGCGUGAAGGAAGAAGGCUUUCGGGUUGUAAACUUCUUUUCUCAGGGACGAAGCAAGUGACGGUACCUGAGGAAUAAGCCACGGCUAACUACGUGCCAGCAGCCGCGGUAAUACGUAGGUGGCAAGCGUUAUCCGGAUUUAUUGGGUGUAAAGGGCGUGUAGGCGGGGACGCAAGUCAGAUGUGAAAACCCAGGGCUCAACCUGGGGCCUGCAUUUGAAACUGUUUUUCUUGAGUGCUGGAGAGGCAGUCGGAAUUCCGUGUGUAGCGGUGAAAUGCGUAGAUAUACGGAGGAACACCAGUGGCGAAGGCGGAUUGCUGGACAGCAACUGACGCUGAGGCGCGAAAGCGUGGGGAGCAAACAGGAUUAGAUACCCGUGUAGUC
RNAcentral lists this ribosomal RNA (443 nucleotides) under uncultured bacterium. RNAcentral's name for it is "partial 16S ribosomal RNA". It matches the Rfam family "Bacterial small subunit ribosomal RNA", at positions 338 to 795 of the family's 1533-position model. The record is from RNAcentral.